RNAcentral lists this long non-coding RNA (1580 nucleotides) under Pan troglodytes (chimpanzee). RNAcentral's name for it is "long non-coding RNA NONPTRT003771". The record is from RNAcentral. Lineage: Eukaryota; Metazoa; Chordata; Mammalia; Primates; Hominidae.
AUUUAAUAAAGUUUCACAUGUGAAUUAGCUUCAUAUGUGUGUAGAAGGUUGCUUUUACAGCAGGUCCUUAAGUACUCCCUUUGAAAUUCCUCCUUUUUUUUUAAGUCAUACCAUUACUUCUUUGGAUAUGAAUGUCACAAGUGGUAUCUCCUACUGUAGUAUGAGGAAGAAUGGCUGUUAAUGUAUUUUUUGAAUUUUGGUCUUGUCUUGGCCUGGAUCAUAUCCAGUCACCACUAUGCAACAAAUGAUGUGCACUGGGCAAGUAUAUGAUGGGUUAUGAAAGCUGUAUCUUGCUUGUUUUUUCUUUUGCAGUACUCCAAGUGGUCUAAACAGGAAUGUCUUGUAAAACCUCAAGACUCCCUAUUGAUUAUUCCCUUACAUAUUUAUUUACAAUUUAUCAGGGUAAUUGGUGGUGCCUUAUGAAAAGUAUAACUCGAUUUCUUGAUCUUUGAGCAUGUUUUGUGUUUCUUGUGUUUUCUAAAAGAAUAUUAGAUAUGGUUAAUUGCAUUACAUCUAAAAGAUUUAAAAAAUUGUGUGUAUGCUCAGGUUCCCCAUACCCGUACCCACCCCAACCCCUGUCAUUUACAUUGGUGGCAACUUUAAGUGGUAACCAAGCAAAAGUACAUUUUGAUAAUGAGUAUUGAUAAUCCUGAGGAAAACUAGUGAGUAUAUGGGAGCCACCUUUGACCUGUGCCAAAGCAGUUUCUAAUUUCAUUUGCUAACUAUAAAAUAAAGAACUGAGCCAAAAUAAUUUGAUCAGUGGUGUGAUUAGCCUAUUAUCAUUGCUGAGAAUAGUGUUUUUGGAGUGUGAAGUGAUUCCUGAAGAUUUCACCUGCCUUCUGUUUCCAGCAAGAAUCCAGUGAUGACCAACACAUUUCCUCACUUUUGGUUCUUGAGAAGUUUAUCCCUUUGCAACAAACCAUUAAUAGGGAAAACAAGGAAAUGCUUUCCCUUUCUCUUUGGCUUCUUAAAGCUCACAACCAAUUCAGACCCCAAGUUACUUCAGAGAAGCAAAUGGCACCUUUUCCCCAUUGCCAAGAAUCCCAGCUUAUGCAGAUAUGAAGGACGGAUCAUUUCUGAAAAUGUUAAGACUCUGCUUGCAGUGGACUUGGCCUCAGUUUCAUGAAAUGUGUAACUCUGUAUGUGUAUGUUAGGAGGAGGGUUGGUUGAAAGAGCGGGGGCAGGGAGGGGAAUCUGAUUACCUCUUGGGAAAUAAUUUUCUUGCCAACAAAAAGAUACACUUGAAGUUUCUUAAGGUGGCAAGUCCAUUAAAAAAAAAGAAUUGUGUUGGACCCUCCCAGUUUAGAUCAAGUAUUUCUUGGGGGUCUUGCUAUUGUGGUUGAUACCAAUAAAUGGAAGAUCCAGAAUAUUUUCAUUUAAAGCUCAACCAUGAAUUGGAACAUGGUGAAACAUUUUACACAUUGUAAAAGUAGGGAACAGUACAAAAGAAUGGAAUCAAAUACUAUAUUAUGUGAAUAAACUAGAGUGAUUUUGGAAUUUCACUCUCUUCACCCCUUCUCACUUGUAUGUUCUGUAAAGUGUAUUUCUACUUUGCUAGGUUGUGUAUCUUGUCAGUGGGG